UCCAGGGUAGCCUAGUGGACAUGGCACCUGCCCGGUAAGCGGAAGGUCGUGGGUUCGAUUCCCGCCCCUGGAC
Non-coding RNA from Cordylochernes scorpioides, 73 nucleotides. NCBI's taxonomy places the organism in Eukaryota, Metazoa, Arthropoda, Arachnida, Pseudoscorpiones, Chernetidae. The record is from the annotation of a GenBank genome assembly.